Capra hircus (goat) is the source of this 41-nucleotide ribosomal RNA. Lineage: Eukaryota; Metazoa; Chordata; Mammalia; Artiodactyla; Bovidae. The record is from Ensembl.
CUGAAUAUACCAGAUCUCCUCUGAUCUCAGAAACUAAGCAG